This 1226-nucleotide long non-coding RNA is filed under the name Lactuca sativa (garden lettuce). RNAcentral's name for it is "long non-coding RNA (LSAT_LNC002197)". Lineage: Eukaryota; Viridiplantae; Streptophyta; Magnoliopsida; Asterales; Asteraceae. The record is from RNAcentral.
UUUGCCAUCAUGAUUAAUGGGAUUUUCGGACUGGAUAAGAAGACAAACUGCACCUUUUCAUCUUCCGAAGAAUAUCCAUCGGAAUCCUUUACUUGCAGAGGACAUUCAAAUUUCCCAUCGCUUACUUCUGGCAAUUUGUACACAAGGUAAGUUGCAUAGUUUGUGUUUGGUGACAUCAUGUGGGAGUUGAUACGACAAUUGAUAUUUAAUUCACUGCCUGAUUUACAUUCGGCCGCUUUCUUGAAUCUGCAUCACUUACAUGUUGUAAAAAACACACCAAAACGAUAUGCAUCAAUCUUGUAAGAAGGGUACGUACAUCGAUUCAUGUAGAGAUAUCCAACGAAAGCUCGUGUCUUCGUUGUCUUCGUUGUCUUCUAGAACUACUCUUGCUGCCACCAUACAACAUUUGAUUCCAUCUUUAUUAAGAGAAAAGAACUGUACAUCAAUGAUUUCAACAAUAAGCGUUAACAACCCAGAAGAAUACAAUUUGUUAUCAAUAAAUAUUUCCUUUGUAAUUAGAAAUUAAGUAGGAUUAGUUAUAUAUGUACCAUUCGGCCUCUAUUCGUAAGGAUCCCAUUGAUGAAUAGCAUGUAGAUUUCCUUGUUAGUGAUGUUGUAUGGCACAUGAUCCUUUGCCGUUUUGAUUAUGUAUUGAUAGUCACGUGGUAGUUUUUGUUCCCAAUUUGUAUCUAUCAUCGUAUUAGAAUUGUCUACUGUUACUGGCUCUUCUUCUAUAGCCUGUAAAUGAAAAUUAAAUGGAUUAAUUCAAGGAGUCAUAAUCUCAUGGAGUAUUUAUGAUGAAAGGAUGUAUGAUUGAUGUUUACCAACUCCACAGGCAAGAACUGGAUGCCUUCAAUUAAGAUGCUAUCACGAACAUGAAUGCUAUCGAAUGAAACCUCAAGCUUUGCGGCUUUCUUAUGACUAAUGAAUUGGCACAGUUCAAUCAACAUCCAUCCAUUAUCUAUCUGCUCUGCAAGGUAAGAGACUGAAAAUUCACCUGCAUCUUUAAAUUUAUAUUGUAAACCCACAUAUAGUGGUUCAAAUAACAUCUCGGAUUUGACUGUAUGUGAAUCAUCAGAAUCAUGAUCAGAGUUAUGAUCAGAAUCGUCAGAAUUAUCCUCAUCAAAAUUUUUGAAGACAAGGUAUGCAGCGUAUGUGAUCCCCGGUGUCAAGAAAAUCGUCUCUAUAUCAACCUCUAUAUUCAUAUCCUCUGCUCUUUCAAUUUUU